AUCUCUCUCUUGUUCGUUUUUGUUAGAUCUCAUCUCACUCAAAAUUGCACAGAUUCUCUCCGAAUAAUGGAUCAUCUUAACACCAGCAAUACAUCUAUCACCAGUACUCUUAUCAUUCACAUGAAACUCCCAAAAGAAGAAGAUGAGAAAAUGGUUGAUUUGGAUACGAAUCGGUGUGAGCAAACUCUCGCAAAUGGCCUUCUUAUCUCACAGGUGAUUAUGGGGUUAAGUAGAAAGUGUAGUAAAUGGCAUCAGAAGAAAAAUUGGUCUAGGCGCACUUUUCAGUAUUCGGUUAUAAUCCUUGACAACUUUAGGGGAUUUCACUUCAAAUCGGGGUCUCUAAAUCAAUUACACACUUAACCUUCUUACCAAUCUUCAGCACGACAUCCACAUUCACACAUCUUCCCCAAAAUUAAUCUUCUUCCAAACAACCUAAUUCAAAUCAGUCACAGGUAUAUCUGAAUGAAUGAUUCAGCCUCAUCAUGAUCAACUUGGAAGGGAUUUCCAAAACAAUUACAGGAAACUCAACUGCACAAUUAUAAGAAAGCAGCAUUCCUGUCGUCAAAAGCGUUUGAACUGAUAUCCGAUUUUAAGUCUUUGAACGCAUAUAUAGUCACGAAAAGCAUCGAGGCUAUGUAUGUCAUAUGGUUUGGAGCAAAUGUUGUGCUAGAAUGCACAAGUGAAGUGGUCCGUUUAUUGAGUAUUUGCACAUGCAUCACAAUCCCAGAACACGUGGGUCUCAUAGUACUCACAGACAUCAACACAACAAGCUAGUUACGGACUUCCAAGUCUUUCUUCCGGCCCUCCCUUAAUCAGGUACUUCCAUCGGACCAUCGCAGCUCUCAUCUGGUAGUAGGUCACGUUCCAGUUCUCGAGGCUCAAGGUCUAGCAGACUGCCUCUGUUGCUCCACAGGUAAUGCCUCAAAAUGGUGGGUCUGGGCCUGCUGGUAUUCAUCAGCAGCAACAAUUGCAUCAGCUUGCACUCCAAUCGUAUUCUCAUUUAUCUCAGGUCCUGCCUCAGCAAACGCAAGCUUUGCAAGCUAGGUUUGAGUCAUCACAAAAAUCAUUCUAUCAGCUACAGCAAGAGUUGCAUAUGAUGCAACAGUCUGGUCAGAAAGAUGUGCUUUUGUUAAUACAAUGUGUGUUAAUUAUGUUUGUGUUUGGUCUAUGUUGCUAGGAGAAAGUUGUUCGCGUAUUUGUAUGUUUGGGUUUAGAUGUACUACUAUCAUAUACUUUGCUCAUUUAUUUUUAGGUUGGAAUCUUGAUUUGCUGCAAAAUAACAGACUUGACAAAAUGUUAUAGGGCCCAGACACGACAAAUGUUUUUUUUACGGGUUAACACUAUUUCCGGGCCAACACUUCACUAAAGCCUUGGAUACCCUGAUGUGUGGUCUAGGUCAAGUCCCAAAUAUGCCCAACCGUUGGAUUUCUAUCUAUAACCCUCUCUUAUAUCGAUCAUAUACCUAAAAAGAGAUGAGGAUAUCCUUAAACGAAUGAGUAGCCGCCUCUACAAAAUAAACUCUCUCUAACUAGAUGAUCUGAAUCAAACCCAAAAUCUUUGUUUCUAAGAAAAAUGGAUGAUUCUUCUUUAGGAGUACGUUUACGAUUAUCUUUCACGGAUCUGGUUAUUACCAGUACUCUGCUGAUUCCUAUGAAAAUCCCAGAAGAAGAUGAAGAACUUGUCUUCUUGUUGUUGAUGAUCUACUCGCUCACACAAUGAUUUUUCCUCUCAAAUCCUACAACCUCCUGUAGAGACUGCGUCAUAGCGGUUUGUGAGACUUUCAAAACGAGUAAUGAACCCCUUUCUCAUUCUCUAUAUGGUUGCCGGUGUCAGGGGAGAACUUUGCUAUUGGUAUCAUCCUGAGGAUAGUCAUAGUGAUCGGUGUUUACCAUGUGGUGACCGAGUUGCGGCUGUUAUACCAUCUGAAACCCUAGCUCCGGCUGCUUUAAAGGAUGAUGGACUCGUCUCAGAUCUGGUGAUUCUGCUUGCCGGAGUGUACGGUUUCUUCUUGUCCGAUAUCGCCCUUGGUUUCUACGGCGGUCUGGAGACUUCGCUGGCUGAGACGUCUAUCGUAAUCUUUAUGGGUUUUGCUUUUGCAAGGAGAAGCUUGUCAUGGCGGUGGUGGUUUUCACAGUAGUUACUAGUUGCUUAAUUUAUAUUUAUCAAACUGCCCAAAGCGCUAUUGUUCCUACUGCGGGAGAUCUGCAAGCAAGUGUUGCUGCGGUCGAGGCAAGAGUCGGUCUACUUGAAAAUCCUGGCGAUGCAAUAGUAUGAAUUGUGCUGAAGAAAGUUGGUGUAGGAUGAUUUACUGGAUGUUGUGGUAACGGUAAAAAAAUCGUGGUAUUUUAUUUCUUUAGGGUAUUUAUGGUGUUGCUAUAUUUAUUGGAUUGUUACUUAAAAUCAUCCGUAAGUAGUAAUUUAUUAGGUUGAUGUUAUUAGUAACUGGUAAUUUAUAUGUUGUAAUGUACUGUGAACGGAUGGUGAUCAACCCAAGCAGCAACAAUUCAGGUGCACAGGUUGGAUUUGUCGGUGGUGGCCAAUGCCAAUGCAAUGCUUCUUCCGUUCCCAACUAUAGGGUGCAGUUCACUAGCCAUAAGUACUAGGAAACGAAUAUACCGACUUUCAUUGAGAAAUUUAAGCUUAAUACAGGUUUUUGAAUGUUUUUGUUCUUUUGUUUCCAUAGUUUUGGCUAGCAUAUGAGUCAGAUUCUUUUGAAUAUGUGAACGACUUUUGUUUUUCUUUUCUGAAGCUUAUGUAAUCUAUGUACAGACCAACAAUUACAUCAUUUUUCUGCAGAUACAUACUUAUAUAACCCAUUUCGGAAAAUGGGUCAGAAUUAUAUUUUGAUUA
Papaver somniferum (opium poppy) is the source of this 2850-nucleotide long non-coding RNA. RefSeq lists it as uncharacterized. Lineage: Eukaryota; Viridiplantae; Streptophyta; Magnoliopsida; Ranunculales; Papaveraceae. The record is from RefSeq and is a predicted model, not a curated record. The transcript is spliced from 4 exons.